GGAGGUGAUGGCAUUGAUCUUGCCAAUCCAUGGUCUGUCUAGGAUGCCGUUGUAAGGUGAAACCUCAUUAAUGACCACGAAUGUUUGCGAGCUGAUUACAGGUGAGGAGUAGACGUCGAGGUCUAUUGUGCCCACGGUAACCGUUGUUGCACCAUUAAAGUCGAUCAGCGAUCUGGCUAAUUUGUUGAUCUUUGUCUCUAAGCUCAUCUGUUGGAUGACCACCAAUUACAAGAUAUUGGCUGCACUGCACUCGUCUGCGUGGAUUCGGUCGACCAUGGCCUGAGCGAUUUGAAUGCUGAUGACAAGGGUGUCGUUAUAUGGCAUGUCGAGGCCGAUCAGAU
RNAcentral lists this long non-coding RNA (341 nucleotides) under Prunus persica (peach). Its description in RNAcentral is "long non-coding RNA (PPER_LNC000867)". Lineage: Eukaryota; Viridiplantae; Streptophyta; Magnoliopsida; Rosales; Rosaceae. The record is from RNAcentral.